UCUCCGUUGGUGAACCAGCGGAGGGAUCAUUACCGAGUUUACAACUCCCAAACCCCAUGUGAACGUUACCAAACUGUUGCCUCGGCGGGGUCACGCCCCGGGUGCGUCGCAGCCCCGGAACCAGGCGCCCGCCGGAGGAACCAACCAAACUCUUUCUGUAGUCCCCUCGCGGACGUUACUUCUUACAGCUCUGAGCAAAAAUUCAAAAUGAAUCAAAACUUUCAACAACGGAUCUCUUGGUUCUG
This 245-nucleotide unclassified non-coding RNA is filed under the name plant metagenome. Its description in RNAcentral is "partial contains small subunit ribosomal RNA, internal transcribed spacer 1, and 5.8S ribosomal RNA". The record is from RNAcentral.